CUCCUCUGGAGGUAAUUUGAGUUACUGGCUGUGAUAUGUUACAAUAUCCCUUCUUAAUGACGGUUGGGCCAGUAGUUUGUCCGUCUUGGGACUUGAGCAAUGUCCAAAUGUUGUAGUCAAGUCCCGUCGCACUAGACGGCUGCACGGUUUCAGAAGCACCGGCUUGUGGGUCAGAUAGCCAAGAGAAACAUGACAUCACAAAUCAGUCUUGUUUGCGAAACCAUUCUCAGAAUCAUCACUCCCCAUUCCCGCUCUACAGGAGUCCUCCAGCCCGCUCUAGUAGUAGUAGUACUUUAACAUAGUAACCACACGAGUACAAAAACGAAAGUAAUUGUUAAUCCUACAAAGUGAAACCCAACACCUAAACUGUGGUGACCCACGGUCUGACCCCAGACUGUGUGUGUGUGCGGGGAGGCGGUACCUUCUCGGCCCAGACGAAGAUGACGUCCUCCUCCAGCAGGUCAGCGUCGUACAGGUCCUUGAGGAUCACGGCCACGCGGGGCAGCAGCUGGGUCUGGUGCAGCUUCACCAGGCACUCGAAGCCCCCCAGAAGGUACUUCUGGGCCUUCUUGUUGUUGUGGCAGAACUGAGGGGAGGAAAGAGGAGGAGGUUAGCGCCCACAGGACCUUAGAGGAGGUGGUCGGCCGAACAGGACUUCAUAAUGUGGGGGACAUUAGAGGAGGAGGUCAGCCCCAACAGGACUUCAUAAUGUGGGGGACAGAGGAGGAGGAGGUGAGCCCCAACAGGACUUCAUAAUGUGGGGAUCAGGGACUCUAUUUACUCUUUUGGACUCUUGUCUCUAUCUGUAGUUACUUUAGUACGUUUUAAAUAAGCUCAAAUGGGCCUCCAUCUCUCCGGCACAUAACGUUUUUAUUUAAAAAGGCGUAAAAAGUACGUCUGUAAUUGUGGGUCAGAUAGCCAAGAGAAGCAUGACAUCACAAAACAUCAGUCAUGUUUGCGAAACCAUUCUCAGAAUCAUCACUCCCCAUUCCACCACCAGCUCGACAUGAUAAAGGCCCGCCACCAUAAUCUAUCCUCAAGGGGUUUGGGAUCCUAAUCCAAUUAAAAAAAAAUAAAAACGGAUUCAGAAGAAUCGGAAUAACGACGUUCCCAAA
Molecule: long non-coding RNA, 1115 nt
Organism: Gadus macrocephalus (Pacific cod)
Lineage: Eukaryota; Metazoa; Chordata; Actinopteri; Gadiformes; Gadidae
Exons: 2
Source: RefSeq, a predicted model, not a curated record